GACGAACGCUGGCGGCGUGCUUAACACAUGCAAGUCGAACGGUGAAGCUCCAGCUUGCUGGAGUGGAUCAGUGGCGAACGGGUGAGUAACACGUGAGCAACCUGCCCCUGACUCUGGAAUAAGCGCUGGAAACGGCGUCUAAUACUGGAUACGAGAAGGGUCCGCAUGGGCACUUUCUGGAAAGUUGUUCGGUUGGGGAUGGGCUCGCGGCCUAUCCGCUUGUUGGUGAGGUAAUGGCUCACCAAGGCGACGACGGGUAGCCGGCCUGAGAGGGCGACCGGCCACACUGGGACUGAGACACGGCCCAGACUCCUACGGGAGGCAGCAGUGGGGAAUAUUGCACAAUGGGCGAAAGCCUGAUGCAGCGACGCCGCGUGAGGGAUGACGGCCUUCGGGUUGUAAACCUCUUUCAGCAGGGAAGAAGCGAAAGUGACGGUACCUGCAGAAGAAGCACCGGCUAACUACGUG
This 468-nucleotide ribosomal RNA is filed under the name uncultured bacterium. RNAcentral's name for it is "partial 16S ribosomal RNA". It matches the Rfam family "Bacterial small subunit ribosomal RNA", at positions 28 to 507 of the family's 1533-position model. The record is from RNAcentral.